RNAcentral lists this ribosomal RNA (2787 nucleotides) under Escherichia coli. Its description in RNAcentral is "bacterial LSU rRNA". It matches the Rfam family "Bacterial large subunit ribosomal RNA". Lineage: Bacteria; Pseudomonadati; Pseudomonadota; Gammaproteobacteria; Enterobacterales; Enterobacteriaceae. The record is from RNAcentral.
AGCGUACACGGUGGAUGCCCUGGCAGUCAGAGGCGAUGAAGGACGUGCUAAUCUGCGAUAAGCGUCGGUAAGGUGAUAUGAACCGUUAUAACCGGCGAUUUCCGAAUGGGGAAACCCAGUGUGUUUCGACACACUAUCAUUAACUGAAUCCAUAGGUUAAUGAGGCGAACCGGGGGAACUGAAACAUCUAAGUACCCCGAGGAAAAGAAAUCAACCGAGAUUCCCCCAGUAGCGGCGAGCGAACGGGGAGGAGCCCAGAGCCUGAAUCAGUAUGUGUGUUAGUGGAAGCGUCUGGAAAGGCGCGCGAUACAGGGUGACAGCCCCGUACACAAAAAUGCACAUGCUGUGAGCUCGAUGAGUAGGGCGGGACACGUGGUAUCCUGUCUGAAUAUGGGGGGACCAUCCUCCAAGGCUAAAUACUCCUGACUGACCGAUAGUGAACCAGUACCGUGAGGGAAAGGCGAAAAGAACCCCGGCGAGGGGAGUGAAAAAGAACCUGAAACCGUGUACGUACAAGCAGUGGGAGCACGCUUAGGCGUGUGACUGCGUACCUUUUGUAUAAUGGGUCAGCGACUUAUAUUCUGUAGCAAGGUUAACCGAAUAGGGGAGCCGAAGGGAAACCGAGUCUUAACUGGGCGUUAAGUUGCAGGGUAUAGACCCGAAACCCGGUGAUCUAGCCAUGGGCAGGUUGAAGGUUGGGUAACACUAACUGGAGGACCGAACCGACUAAUGUUGAAAAAUUAGCGGAUGACUUGUGGCUGGGGGUGAAAGGCCAAUCAAACCGGGAGAUAGCUGGUUCUCCCCGAAAGCUAUUUAGGUAGCGCCUCGUGAAUUCAUCUCCGGGGGUAGAGCACUGUUUCGGCAAGGGGGUCAUCCCGACUUACCAACCCGAUGCAAACUGCGAAUACCGGAGAAUGUUAUCACGGGAGACACACGGCGGGUGCUAACGUCCGUCGUGAAGAGGGAAACAACCCAGACCGCCAGCUAAGGUCCCAAAGUCAUGGUUAAGUGGGAAACGAUGUGGGAAGGCCCAGACAGCCAGGAUGUUGGCUUAGAAGCAGCCAUCAUUUAAAGAAAGCGUAAUAGCUCACUGGUCGAGUCGGCCUGCGCGGAAGAUGUAACGGGGCUAAACCAUGCACCGAAGCUGCGGCAGCGACGCUGAUGCGUUGUUGGGUAGGGGAGCGUUCUGUAAGCCUGCGAAGGUGUGCUGUGAGGCAUGCUGGAGGUAUCAGAAGUGCGAAUGCUGACAUAAGUAACGAUAAAGCGGGUGAAAAGCCCGCUCGCCGGAAGACCAAGGGUUCCUGUCCAACGUUAAUCGGGGCAGGGUGAGUCGACCCCUAAGGCGAGGCCGAAAGGCGUAGUCGAUGGGAAACAGGUUAAUAUUCCUGUACUUGGUGUUACUGCGAAGGGGGGACGGAGAAGGCUAUGUUGGCCGGGCGACGGUUGUCCCGGUUUAAGCGUGUAGGCUGGUUUUCCAGGCAAAUCCGGAAAAUCAAGGCUGAGGCGUGAUGACGAGGCACUACGGUGCUGAAGCAACAAAUGCCCUGCUUCCAGGAAAAGCCUCUAAGCAUCAGGUAACAUCAAAUCGUACCCCAAACCGACACAGGUGGUCAGGUAGAGAAUACCAAGGCGCUUGAGAGAACUCGGGUGAAGGAACUAGGCAAAAUGGUGCCGUAACUUCGGGAGAAGGCACGCUGAUAUGUAGGUGAAGUCCCUCGCGGAUGGAGCUGAAAUCAGUCGAAGAUACCAGCUGGCUGCAACUGUUUAUUAAAAACACAGCACUGUGCAAACACGAAAGUGGACGUAUACGGUGUGACGCCUGCCCGGUGCCGGAAGGUUAAUUGAUGGGGUCAGCGCAAGCGAAGCUCUUGAUCGAAGCCCCGGUAAACGGCGGCCGUAACUAUAACGGUCCUAAGGUAGCGAAAUUCCUUGUCGGGUAAGUUCCGACCUGCACGAAUGGCGUAAUGAUGGCCAGGCUGUCUCCACCCGAGACUCAGUGAAAUUGAACUCGCUGUGAAGAUGCAGUGUACCCGCGGCAAGACGGAAAGACCCCGUGAACCUUUACUAUAGCUUGACACUGAACAUUGAGCCUUGAUGUGUAGGAUAGGUGGGAGGCUUUGAAGUGUGGACGCCAGUCUGCAUGGAGCCGACCUUGAAAUACCACCCUUUAAUGUUUGAUGUUCUAACGUUGACCCGUAAUCCGGGUUGCGGACAGUGUCUGGUGGGUAGUUUGACUGGGGCGGUCUCCUCCUAAAGAGUAACGGAGGAGCACGAAGGUUGGCUAAUCCUGGUCGGACAUCAGGAGGUUAGUGCAAUGGCAUAAGCCAGCUUGACUGCGAGCGUGACGGCGCGAGCAGGUGCGAAAGCAGGUCAUAGUGAUCCGGUGGUUCUGAAUGGAAGGGCCAUCGCUCAACGGAUAAAAGGUACUCCGGGGAUAACAGGCUGAUACCGCCCAAGAGUUCAUAUCGACGGCGGUGUUUGGCACCUCGAUGUCGGCUCAUCACAUCCUGGGGCUGAAGUAGGUCCCAAGGGUAUGGCUGUUCGCCAUUUAAAGUGGUACGCGAGCUGGGUUUAGAACGUCGUGAGACAGUUCGGUCCCUAUCUGCCGUGGGCGCUGGAGAACUGAGGGGGGCUGCUCCUAGUACGAGAGGACCGGAGUGGACGCAUCACUGGUGUUCGGGUUGUCAUGCCAAUGGCACUGCCCGGUAGCUAAAUGCGGAAGAGAUAAGUGCUGAAAGCAUCUAAGCACGAAACUUGCCCCGAGAUGAGUUCUCCCUGACUCCUUGA